Molecule: ribosomal RNA, 397 nt
Filed under: uncultured bacterium
Lineage: Bacteria
Description: bacterial SSU rRNA
Rfam family: Bacterial small subunit ribosomal RNA
Source: RNAcentral
UCGGGGAAUUUUUGGGCAAUGGGCGAAAGCCUGACCCAGCAACGCCGCGUGAAGGAUGAAGUAUUUCGGUAUGUAAACUUCGAAAGAAUAGGAAGAAUAAAUGACGGUACUAUUUAUAAGGUCCGGCUAACUACGUGCCAGCAGCCGCGGUAAUACGUAGGGACCAAGCGUUGUUCGGAUUUACUGGGCGUAAAGGGCGCGUAGGCGGUGUGUCAAGUCAGUUGUGAAAUCUCCGAGCUUAACUCGGAACGGUCAACUGAUACUGUCACACUAGAGUACAGAAGGGGGCAAUCGGAAUUCUUGGUGUAGCGGUGAAAUGCGUAGAUAUCAAGAGGAACACCUGAGGCGAAGGCGGGUUGCUGGGCUGAUACUGACGCUGAGGCGCGAAAGCUAGGGU